Aedes albopictus (Asian tiger mosquito) is the source of this 7960-nucleotide long non-coding RNA. RefSeq lists it as uncharacterized. The transcript has 2 exons. Lineage: Eukaryota; Metazoa; Arthropoda; Insecta; Diptera; Culicidae. The record is from RefSeq and is a predicted model, not a curated record.
UGCACGAAUUUAUGAUGGCCUGCUUACUCUUACCGAAAAUAUGACGUUUGAGCGGUGCCGGCACCUCCCAAUCGUCAAAUUUUCUGUGAGAACAAGCAGGUCAGCAUAAAUUCGUGCAGUGGACCAUUAGUUGUUUUCUUGGUAACAAAAAUAAGGGUAAAAUUAGUUGUUUAUUUCAAAAUAGCUAAAUAAAAAAGUUUUCUGCAAUGAAACUAAUUGUAAACAAAAUUCAAGUAUUUCAAGUAUUAUGGUAAUCGAUUAUUAUUGACCCAAAAUCGAAACUGUUGGAUGGUAAGUAUUCAACAGCAUUGCGGUGUUUGCUGACUCUAAGUUCCUUCUCGGAAAUCGCAAUGCAAGGCUCAAAAUUCAUUUAACUAGUGGUGUAUGAUCUUUGUCCUAUUCUGUUGCGACAUUGUCGUUAUUGUUGCGCGAUGGAUGAAUUUUGAUUCACUGUCAUUUACUAAAUCACAAACAAAUGGCAUAUUUUGUUAUGGUGUCACCUUAUGCUAUUGGCAUGUUAUUUUAACCUUUUUCGUGCAUUAGCUAACGCUUACCACGCUGGCAUAGUGCACGCUACACGUACAUUCGAGAAUACACCAUGAAUAUUGUCAAUUUGGAAAUGUGACAGCAACAUACAAUAUAUCUGUGAUACAAACAAUUUUUAGCACAUUCACUUCAUGUACUAUUUUGCCUUCAUUGCACAAUGGUCCGAAUCCACGUUUUAGCAGGAAAAAAAUCCGUAUCUCUGUUUUCGUUAAUUUUAGGCAUUUGGUGUCUUCAGAGAAGUUGUUUGAAUUUGUUUGCUGCAUCUUUUCUAAAAAUUUUUGAUUAGGGUGGUCCGCGUCUUAACUCAAAUCUGGAAUAGAACUUUUAAAUUUAAAGUCAUACGCGAUCGAGUUCUUCAGCAAAGUUGUAGGCAAUGCUAUUUUGAGCAACUUUGCCGAAUACGCCGUUUAUCUAGCUCCUAAUUUGAACAUAGUAGGUCAACUUUAAGUUUUGACUUAGGGUGAGCCACCCAAAAACGGUUUUUUCGCAAUAACUUUUUUAUUUGAUUUUUUUCGAAGAUGUGAGCUUCGGAGCAUUUGAAGACCAAGUAAUGACGCAUAUUUGUUCGGAACAUUGCACGUUGCUAAGUCUUGUCAUUCAAAUGUUAUGGGCAAUUUUGACUUAAAAUCAACGAUGUCUUCAAAUGCUUAUAUCUCUAGGAGCUGGUAAAAUAAAAAAAGUUUUUUAAGCGGCAUUUGGAAGGUCACAUAUAAAGCUAAAUUUGGAGCAAAUAUUACAAGAACGUUAUUUUUUAAAUUGGAAUAAAUCGACUCCAAAAAUCUCCUUAAAAAAUCGAAAACUACUUAUAACUCAUACAAUUUUAAAGAUAGAGUCAAACUGUCUUCGGAAAAUAUGUAGGUUUUUACCAUGCCUACAAGUUUUCCAUACACCAUUUUUUUGUAAAACGUGAAACAAAAGCUUGAAAUUGAUAAUUUGAUUCUUAGGGGUACAUGCUAUGUUUUUCUAGGAAAUCAGAACGAUUAUAUUCUUUAAAAACAAAUUAUCAAUUUCAAGCUUUUGUUUCACGUUUUACAAAAAAGUCGUGUAUGGGAAACUUUUAGGUAUGGUGAAAACCCACAUUUUUCCCGAAGACAGUUUGACUCUAUCUUUAAAAUUGUAUGAGUUAUAAGUAGUUUUUCGAUUUUUCAAGGGGAUUUUUGGAGUCGAUUUAUUCCAAUUUAAAAAAUAACGUUCUUGUAAUAUUUGCUUCAAAUUUGGCUUUAUAUGUGACCUUCCAAAUGCCGCUUAAAAAACUUUUUUUAUUUUACCAGUUCCAUGAGAUAUAAGCAUUUGAAGACAUCGUUGUUUUUAAGUCAAAAUUGCCCAUAACAUAUGAAUGACAAGGCCUAGCAACAUGCAAUGUUCAGAACAAAUAUGCGUCAUUACUUGCUCUUCAAAUGCUCCGAAGCUCACAUCUUCGAAAAAAAUCAAAUAAAAAAGUUAUUGCGAAAAAACCGUUUUUGGGGGGCUCACCCUAAGUCAAAACUUAAAGUUGACCUACUAUGUUCAAAUUAAGAGUUAGAUAAAUGGCGUAUUCAGCAAAGUUGCUCGAAAUAGCAUUGCCUACAACUUUUCUGAAGAACUCGAUCGCGUAUGACUUAAAAUUAAAAAAUUCUUUUCCAGAUUUGAGUUAGGACGUGGACCACCCUAAUCAAAAAGUUUUGGAAAAGAUGCAGCAAACAAAUGCAAACAACUUCUCUGAAGACACCAAACGCCUAAAAUUAACGAAAACAGAGAUACAGAUUUUUUUCCUGCUAAAACGUAGAUUCGGACCAUUGUGCAUUGGUUGUACAUGUUUUGAUGUACCAUACUACGUGGGAAUUUUCCAAUAAGUGUGUGCGGAUUUGCCUGAGUGAAUGAUUCAAUCAGAAGUUUGUCAGAACGGAUCAGAUGGAAUGUAAACCUCUUCUCGCCAUCCGGGCAGACCGAAUGCAGUUGCCGGCAGUCCAGUAUCUGAUAAGAAAGUAGAGUAGGAUUGGUGAAGCGAUCACAGCCUUGCAUGGACGCUUCGCAGAUCGGGUGACCUUCCCCGAGAUCUCGAACUGGUGGCUUGGAAGGUAAACAUGGUACUCAAGCGCAAAAACUCAUAGGCCAUAAUCUCAUUUGCCUGUCUUCGAUCACCUACGGUAACCCAAUGCUUUUACUUAUACCGACCAUGUCAAUGGACACAAUUUAAAAAACGCAUCAGUCAGAUCCUUGCUGAUCUGCCCGGUUUUCAACCGUUUGCCUUUGCGUCGGAAGAAAACAACAUAAACCCACCAAAGUCGUGAGGGUAGGUCUUGAGGCGGGAGGACGUUGAAGGUAGUGCAUUAUUGGCGUCCAUUGGAGAGACACGAUAUUGAGGGGUGGCAAAGGGGUUGGCGUUGUUAGUAUUUUGCUGGCUCGGUGCACCCGAUGACAACAGCAAGACCUUAUUGAUGGGAUACGACGUACCCCCGUACUGACUAUCAUCGCAUAACUGUCCCAUAUGAAUAGGAAAUCCAGCAAAUAUGGGACUGAUAUGCGAUCAUAAGCAUCGUAUAUCUUGCGAAAUGUGAGUCGUAGAUUCGAUUCCCACAGGAGCACGUGGAUUUGUUUUCGCAAUUUAAAUCUCAAUUUGUUCAUCAAACACCCGUUGCGCUGGUGUAAUAUAUGAAUGUCAAAGCAUUUCAAACAUUGUAAUUUAAGCUUGGUGUUAGCCCAAGUUAAAAAUUCGAGAAGUUUACACUGAGGAUACUGAUCAUAUGAUUUUCAUAGUUUGCAUCUUAUGAAUCAGUAAUUUUUAUUUUUUUCAUCAUUUCAUAGUUCUCGUAUGCUUUUCAUACAUUGAAAAGCGAAAUCCAUAAGACUUGUCGUAUGAAAAAUCUCAUAAGAAGCAUCGUAUGAAAAUCAUAAGAUAUGUUAUGAAACACCAUUGCUAAAAAACAACAAAACCCUUUUAUUGGCUUCUAACCACUUCAACUUCCGAAGCGUCGAUGGGCGAAUGAGUAAAGCACGCACUCGCCAACCUUGACGUUCCUGGUUCGAUUCCAGGUUGCGAUUUUUUUUUAAUUUGUGCAAAAUAUUUCAUAGAAGUAUGUAUGAUAGUCAUACGACAUAAUUUCAGAUUUUAUACGUUAUCGGUAUGGUUUUCAUACGUGAGUGUUAUGAAAUUUAUACAGUAACAGUAUGACAAUAAUAGUUAGUGCUUUGAAUUCAAAAUCAUAGUUCGUAACUAUGAUUUUUGCAAGAAAUUCUUGUGGCAAAAAAUCAUAGUUGAUUCGUAUGAUUUUCAGAGUUGCAGUAUCCUCAGUGUACAUUUGCCUACAUCAGUAGUUUUAAAAGUGUAACGUAUAGGGUGGGGCGGGGCUAGAUGGGUCGCAUAAGGAUGGAUCACCAUAACUUUGUAAAUACAAAUCGUAUUGGUUUGUAUUCGUCCGCUACUCUUUAAUACACUAGUUAGCUAUGCUAAAAGUCGAUAAAAAGUUCAUUAAAUACAAAAUAUGAUGUUAAACGAGCAGUUUUAAAAAGUGAUCGAUUUUGCACCGUGUAAAAAGUGCGGGGCAAGAUGGGUCACCUUUUAAGUAAUUCACAUUUUCUCAACGAAAAACUUCAACAUAUAAGAUUUGUUCCGCAUUCAUAUAUGCUCCAUAUCCAUACUGAAUAAACAAGAGCUACUAGUAAACAUUUUAUAGAUUUAUUUGGAAUAUAAAAAACUACGAUUUGAGUGGUCCUAAGGCGUCUUGAAAAUCGAUGUUUUCACUAAAAAAAUAUCAUAAUUUUAUGUUAUAAUUUUGAGUGUUCAUUCCGCUUGAUUGAAGUCAUUUAUGAAAUAGUCUUGUAAUAAAAAAUAAAUAGCUUUUGAAUGCUCCAAAAAUACGUUUAAAAUUGAAGGUGACCCAUCUUGCCCCGCGGCCAUUUAUAUGGAGAUUAUAUGGAAUGUAUCGCAUAAGAAAAAUGGCUAAAAACCAUUUUAUUUUUUAUUUCCAAUGACAGUGAAUAAUUUUUCAAUCAAUGCCCCAAACUUUUGUAUAUUCAUGCUGGUCAUCUAACAAAAUUAUUAAUCUAAACAAAACAUGAGUAAUGCGCCCAAAAAUGGCACUAACCCAUCUUGCCCCGCCCCACCCUACAUAAAAGUGAACUCUGUUUUCAGUAAAGUCUCUCUGCCAUUAUGGACAUACUAGAACAUCUCGAACACCAAGAAGUUAAAACAAAUAAAUGGAACACCAAUAGGUACUGUAGCGGUCAAUACUGCAUUUGGAUAAUAAAAACGAAAUAAAAAAAACUUGCGAGAUUCAAACACAGGUAGGGGUAGGCGGGGCAUAAUGAGCAGGUGGGGCAUAAUGAGCACCUUGUAUUUUCACUGUAAAUCUUCAAAUUAACAAAACAAAUUGCUUGAUUGUAGCCUUAUUAUCUAAAAUCCAAUGAGUUGAUGACAAAACAUUAGUCAAAAAAUCCGUUUACCUUGAAAAAAAUUAUCAAAAUGCGUAAAGUGGUCAUGUACUGGGAAAAUAUUAUAAGAAUCAGGUGACCUAAAAUAAGGUUUUGGGUAUCGAAAUCAUAACUUAGUGGGCAUCUAUCGAUUUUCUUGAUAUUCCCUAGGCCAAUGAAAUGUAUUUGUAACACUUUUCAACUAUUUGUAUAAUUAUUUGGUUGAAAAAAUAUGCUUCAAAGAGUUGGUAGUAGGGUGGGGCAGAAUGAGCAACUAGUGAUAAAAUAAUGAAAAUGGUGAACAUCUUCAACAAACAAAUUUUAAUUUUGGUUUUCUCUGUUUUGAUGCAUAUAGUAUGGUUUUGUUUGUAAGAGUUCAAAUUUUUCUGUCACGGUUUUUUUUUUCGUUCUCGUGAAUUAUUUAUUUGUUCAGCAAAAUCUCAUUACAGCUAGGAAAUCGUCUGUCACUUUUUCCUCGAUGAUACGUGGUAUUCCGUUCGGCCGAUAGAUUUGCAAAACGGCUGGUAGUGCUUUGCCCCCGAUAGUUUCCGCGAGUAUUGUUUCAGUUCCGAUCAGUUCCAGUUUUAAUCGCCAUUAAAUAUCGGUUACAUGAAGUAUAAUCACGAAGUGUUUGGCACAUAGCAUAAACUGAAAAACCGAUUUGAAGAUACAUGAGUGACGUGUGUGUUGAGUUCUAGUGCCUGAAGACAACUGCGACGUAAACUAAUAAUGCUAUAAUGAAACCGCAAGUGCACAGGGACUUUCAAAUAACCAUUUUUUGGUUGAUGUGUGAUAGUGCUUGAAACAAUCCCGCUGUAUUACCGACGAUAAAACCACCGACUGUCGGUAAUAAAACGAUAGAGCUCAUGUUGUGAUACGAUCUUGCUGAGUGAAAAUGGGCAAGGAUCGGACCGGCUAGCAACAUUCAUACGCCACAAAUUAGCAAUUUAGUGUACAAACCGUUUAUUUCUCAUGCCUUCAAACAUUUGUUUCCUUCUUCCUAAUCCCUACUUCUAUCUGCUUUCUUCCUCAUCUGUUUCAUUUCUCUUCGGUACUCACGGAUUUCUUCUCGGGUGCACCCAUCUUCUUCGCCGAAACUGCUCUUCUUUGCUCCGCCUCACGCACCUGCAUCAUCGCGGUUCUGUCGAAGUGCUCACCAGCUCGCUUCCGCACUGCUGCGUUGGCCUCGCCUCCAGGCCGUUCUGCGAAACCGGAAUCGUGUUCCCGGUCACUGUGCAGUCUCCUCUCCUGCUUUGCGCUCGACGCUGCCGGCCUCGAUAUGUGCAGUCGCGAUCGUGUCUCGUCCUUCCCUGAACCAGCGUGAAUCGAUCCUCACGGCCGUGCCGUUUUGACGCAGUUUUAGGCUGUGGAAGAAAAGCCCUACCCAUACAUUCCGUUAGUGACUUGAAGUGCUGCAGAAGCUCGGCUAACGCGAGUGUGGCCCACUUACUUCUCCGUGAAGGCUUUUCUAGCUACAUCCAGCUCUCGAUGCUGCCCGGAGAACGAUCCGCCAAUCUUCAAGAUUGUUUUGCGAAGAAGCGUAGUUGAUCUGCGCAAAGAAUAAUGGUGUCAUUCGUCAUACACAUCACUGGUCUACUAACGACUCACCAGGUUCCAGUGCCGCUUUCCGCACAAUUUGGGAUGAUGCUGCUUUGCUCCGUCUAUCGUGCAACUAGAAUGCCAAUCGUUGCACCGCUGGGGCAGUGCUGUCGUCGUCUCUCCGAUGAUGUCUGCCGGACGCUGUCGCUUGGAUCGCAAUUUAGAACGUCCACGCACUCAAAUUGUACCCGUCGCACAAGGUUACGCUCGUUUCCAAGCUGAAAAACACGAUAUCAUUUCGUAAGCUGGUAUUUUCCCCGAAUCACUGGUAGAUUUCUCUCACCUGCGCAUUCACACUCGCCGGGAACAGUUUUGGCCUAGAUUCCCCGGGUGUUCCUCCCGUGAUAGUUCUGCACGUGUCCGGUUGUCCAAAGAUGCACGAUGAUCGCCCCCGUAGCCACUUGGCCUUGCUCGUCGCGGGUUUACUUUCUGGAGGAAAAUAAUUUGUGAGCCGAUUGUCCUUGUUGGUUGGACAGCGAGGACUCACCUGUUCGGAACCACGCCGGGUUUUCGUGGUGUGCUCUCGAGAUGCAGAAGUUUGCUAUUUCGCGGAUGCUGGUCCCUUGCAGCGGACAAUUGACGGGCUCAAGUUGUGGGUGGCUUCUGAUUCACGCACUCUUCAUGCACUCCGAGUGAUGCCCUGCAACUUCACUCGCACCGAACGGUUUUCACUGUUAUCGACGGACAACACUUUACAGCACUCCGGCAUGCAACUCCACUAUCUUCACUGUUCGGUCGAUGCUGAUGUUCGUGUGCAGUGAGGCGAAGCGGAUGUAGCUGCUGUUCGUUCAGUGGACGAUGACAGGAAAAUUUUUCCCCUGUCCUUCGUUAUCAAGCGAGUGUUCCCAGUGAGUUUGUGUUCGACGUUUGGGAUUUGAAUUUGGGGUUUGCACACGAAACACAAAGGGCUCAAAAUAGGCUAAUAUUUUAUCUAACGUAACACAACCUUACCACAGGCGCAGAGUUUUUUGUGAGCGCUGGCAGGCAGCUCACAAAAAACUCUCAGACUCACUUCUACAAGAAGUCGCAGAGAGACUGGAGCAGAUCUGAGGGUUAUCGCUUGAGCAGACCUCAAGGUGUUGAUAACUGCAGCAAAACUAACAAACGCGAACCUUGUUGUUCGCCAGAUCCAAAAGCUCAAAACAUAAUCAAAACAAACAUAACGGCAGCAAGUCCUGCCAAAGGUGAUCUGAACGCUCACAAAUGAGCAAAUGUCUCUGCGCUAGUUCUUGUCCCAUCUUCUGUGCUAUGCCGUUCCUGUGGCAAAACACUCAGUAUGAUCUAUUCUAGUUUUAAGAGCUACAAUAAAACUAAAGAUCAAAACAUGUAACGAAAAUUACGGCUAGUGUUGGCUAAUAUAUGAACGUUUACAGUGGAUGUUGUCAGUCACGAUUGAGUAAAGGUCGGAUUUGGUCGUCCUGAAUCA